GUGUCUGUGGCGGUGGGAUCCCGCGGCCGUGUUUUCCUGGUGGCCCGGCCAUGCCUGAGGUUUCUCCCUGAGCCGCCCCUCUGCGGGCUCCCAGACGGAAUGAAGUUGAUAAUAGUGAGACCUUGUUGGUACAAGACUCUGUAACAUAACCUGCGCUUCUCAACAAAGAAUUGCUUUUCUGACUUCUGCACUCAAUAGCAAGACAAAUCUCUCCUCUGUCUUUUUCUUAUCAGACUACUCAACAUGAAGGCAAUAAGAAUGAAGACCUUUAUGUAUAAUAAUUGACUUCCACUUAAUAAAUAAGGUUACUUGGUACACUGGUCGACAAAACCUUGAAAUGUUGAUGUUUAAGGGCUGUUGAUUGCUGGCAACAAAGAAGUCCAACUGUGCUGGUACCCGAGAUAGCGUCUCCACAUUUUCUUCCAGGAUCAUCACCUUUGUUGUAAAUAGCUCCCACAUAGUGUGAACAGAAGUCAUAUGUUUUAGAUUUUCUGCCUUGGCACCC
Molecule: long non-coding RNA, 505 nt
Filed under: Pan troglodytes (chimpanzee)
Lineage: Eukaryota; Metazoa; Chordata; Mammalia; Primates; Hominidae
Description: lincRNA
Source: RNAcentral